This 42487-nucleotide long non-coding RNA is filed under the name Brachypodium distachyon (stiff brome). RNAcentral describes it as "long non-coding RNA (BDIS_LNC003038)". The stretch from base 24532 to 24604 matches the Rfam family "tRNA". Lineage: Eukaryota; Viridiplantae; Streptophyta; Magnoliopsida; Poales; Poaceae. The record is from RNAcentral.
UAAAUCGAGCCGAGGGAUUCAGUUUUCAGGCGGUGAGCUCCUCUUCCUUGUGGGUCUCGAUGACGAGGUCCGACUGCGGGUAGGCGGCGCAGGUGAGCACCCACCCGGCGGCGACCUGGUCGUCGUCCAGGAAGCUCUGGUCCGACUGGUCCACCUCGCCGGAGACCACCUUGCCGGCGCACGACGAGCAGGAACCAGCCCGGCACGAGUAGGGCAGGUCGAUGCCUUCUUCCUCGGCGUGGUCCAGGAUGUACACGUCGUCGGGGACCUCCAGAUCCACCUCCCCCUCCGGCGUCACCAGCUUCACCUUGUACGUCGCCUGCGCACGAAGCCUCAUGCCCCUCGCCGACGGCGCCGUCAGCGGGAGCACCACACGGGACGAGACGGCCGAGGAAGGUGGAGGGGCGGCUGUGAAGAGGGAGAGGCUGCUCAGCGCGGUGGUCGCCAUUAUUGCAGCUGUGUAAGCUUUCUUGCGAGGAGGAGGAUGGUGUUGGAGAGUGUAUGCAGUAAGCUCUAGCUGGACUGGAGGGGAUGAUGAAGAAGAAGAAGCAGAGGAUGUCCUAGAGGGUGCCACGUGGCCCCUGCAGGUGCUCAGGCUUAUCCUUAAGCUCGGAGCGACCACGGCCACACGAUGAAGGGAUGGACGUCGAUCCACGAGGGCGUGUGGAGGCCAUGCGAUGUAUCCAAUGCGAUUUUGAUCGAUGCACGGCGGCCGUCACAUUUUGGUUUGAGUCAAGCUAGAGAACCUGAUAUGCUGUAAAUUCUUCUAUCUAUAAAUAUUUCGCGACUGGUUUUAGCGAUAGCGAUCAGUCGAUCGAGUGAGUCUAAAUUUCAGUCAGAAAAGAAAAAAAAUCACAAUGAUUUUAGCGAUCAGUCCGUCAUGUGUGACCGGACGAGAAGCCAAGAAGUACACCAGGUUUCACAUUCACAUCAAAAACAGACAAAAAAACUCGAGAUGGAAGCGAUCGUGCCGAGAGUGUGAGCAAAGAUCGCCUUAGUAGACAGUCAGCGGUCUCUCCUCCUCUUGGUCACGCAAAUGGACUUUAAAUUGAGCAGGUCAUGGAAUCCUUCGCUCGGGAACAAUGAACAUGAAAUGCCUUAAAAUUACAAUGCUCCGACCUUCAGUGCAGCUCACCUUUCGUGAGAAGUAAGGCUCCACCAAUCACCGCUGGCGAUGGCACUAGGCAUAUCAUGUCAAGAACAUGUCGAUGAGGCCGGGGAGAAAUGGCAGGACGGACGUCAUGGAGGAGCAGUGGGUGGCGCUAACCCUAGCAACACAAGCUAGGGACAAGGGCAUGUGUAGGCCAUGCGAUGUAUCCUGCGGGGGAGCGAUGGAUGGCCGGCCGGCCAAUGGGGAUGCAUGGUGGCCACCGCAUUUUGGAUCAGUUGAGUGAAGCCACAGAUCUCAUACACUGUUCUGUAAAAAUCUUCUAACCAGAAAUAUUGUUUCGACCGGUGUUAGCGAGAGCGAUCAGUCGACCGAGUGAGUCUAAUUUCAUACAGAGAAUUAUGCAGUUGUUUUUAGCGAGCAAUCAGUCCAUCGUGGCGAUUGGAUGAGAAACAAAGGAGUACAUUGGGCACAAGGUUUGACGUCUAGAUCAGAAACAAUAAAAAAACAUUGAGGUGGAAGCGAUUGGUCUCUCCUCCUCUUAGUUGCACAAGGACUUUAAAUUGAGCAAGCCUUUCAAUGAACAUGAAAUGCCUCGGAAUCACGAUGCUCCUACCUUAAGCGAGAAGCAGCACCAAUCAUUGCUGGCACUGGGUAGAUUGUGUCCAGAACAUGUCCACAAGGCCUAGGAGAAAUGGCAGGCUGGGCAUAAUGGAGGAGUAGUGGCCGGCGCUAACCCUAGCAGCACGUGCAAGGGGAAAGGGUCCGCGGCGGGGAUGCAUGUGGCGUAAGUCGACGGGUCGAGAGAUAUGCGAAGAAAACCUUAAGGAGCACUGAUCAAUCUAGGGAAACCAUGCGGGAUGCCAAUCGAUUCAUAAAAAAAAACGUGUGGUGGGUGCCGAUAGAACUAGGGUAAACCGUGCGGGAGGGUUGCCAAUCAAUCUAGGAAAAAUUGUAGCGGGAAGCAUGCGAGGGGUUCGGAACGAUGUAGAAAAAGCCAUGUUUUUUUUCUGAAAAAAGAAGAGGGGAUAAGCUCAUUGUACCAAGAGAAAAUUGAACUCGCAUCACUAACUCGCAUCACUACUUCGUAGCUAGUAAAAAUACCAUCAUUGCAGAGACACAUCACACACCUGCUGGCUCAACCAUCAAAUCCAUUAAUUUCAGUACGUACAUAAAUACUAGCAGCAGCAGCAGUAAUUUGACCGUAUGGAUCGAUCUCAGGCAGGGGUAGUACAAAAAAGAGGAACACAUAAUAUUACUUGAGCAUUUCAUUCAAGCUCGCUCGCACAGCAGCAACCAAAUCGAUGCACGAUAAGAUCCAUGGAGCUUAGAGAGAUUAUGAUAUCAUCAGACACUCUUGCAAAAGCUGAAGACUAAAAACUUAGGCGGUGAGCUCUUCUUCCUUGUGCGUCUCGAUGACGAGGUCGGACUUGGGGUAUGCGUGGCAGGUGAGCACCCACCCGGCCUCCAUCUGGUCGUCGUCGAGGAAGCUCUGGUCCGACUGGUCCACCUCGCCGGAGAUCACCUUGCCGGCGCACGACGAGCACGACCCGGCCCUGCACGAGUAGGGCAGGUCGAUCCCUUCUUCCUCGAAGUGGUCAAGGAUGUACACGUCGUCGGGGACCUCCAUCUCCACCUCCCCCUCCGGCGUCACCAGCUUCACCUUGUACGUCGCCUGAGCACGGAGCCGGAUGGCCCUCGCCGACGGCGUCAGGGGAAGCGCCACGCGGGAUGGGGCGACGAUUGGGGACGGCGCGGGGGCGGCGGAUGUGAAGAGGGAGAAGGGCGCGCGGAGGCUGCUCAGGGCGGUCGCCAUUGCUGCUGAGAGCUGAGAGCUUGCUUGCUUGCUUGUGUGGUGUGAGGAAGAAGAAGGAGGAUGAGCUAGGGGAUGGAUGAAGAGGGGGGAUAAGUAAGUAAAGGGGGGGGCUGUGUGCCACGUGGCGGGACGUGGGUGGGGGGCUUAUCUUGGAGCGAGGAGCGUCACACGAUGCUCAUCCUCGUCGGCGCCGGGGGGCGUGUGGCUGCCCGGCGACAUCCCGUGAUCUCUCUCGCUUUCUCUUUUUUUUUUGACAAAGAAGGCAGCCUAGUUUCUGCUGGGCCUUUUCCGGCCCAAUUACUAACUAACUACUUCGGUUGCUCGGCUUUCCUUCCAGGCCCGCUAAGCGAAGCCGACGGCAGAUGCAGCCGUGGGCUGGCCGGGGAAUAUGCCGAGUUUUGGGCGGGUUAUUUUUUUUUCCUUUGAUGCGAAUAUGCCUUUUUUUUUUCUUGCAACAAGUCUGAACUUUUAUUUCUACGGACAAGUCUUGUAACUAGUACACGCGGAGAGACUUUUUUGAGUUUUGACGCGAGUUUCUGUUUGACUGACUUGUUCUCUGCGUCCAUUCGAUUUAAUUUAUCGAGACUUUUUCUGUGACAGCUAAAUAUCGAGACUUUGUUGCGGGGUUCUUUUUCGUACCAUUGCUUUCCACGCAUUUAUUAAUUUAUGUGAAUGGAGAAAACGUCUUAAAUCUAUAAUAUCUAUAAAGUUGAUCUUCACUAUUUUUGUUUGCAAGCUUGACAUAUAAGAUGUCUACAUCAUACGCAUGCAUAGUCUCCACAUCACCAUCCACAUCAUGUGUUGUAAAUCACUAGGAAUCCAUUUUGGUGGUCUUUUUGAAUGUCAUAUUUUGAUACUUAGGAUUGUCAACUUAACGUUCUAUAUAAAUAUUUCGCCAAAUACACAUAUUUUCAUGACAUUAUCAAUCUUUUUAAGAUCUGCAAACACACAUAUUUUGAUGUUCAUGUACAUCAAAAUUAUUCCUAUUGUUUUGCUCCAUAGGUGUUAUGAAUGAUAAAAUCAUUUUGUCCUACAAUAUUUAUAUUUCUUUUGCAUUUAACCAUAUUAUUAUCAUGUGUUCCUAACGUCAUAUCCAGAUGUGCAUCUAGAACUUUCCGCGGCAACGCGCGGGGAUCACCUAGUUAUUACUGUUUGCAAUCCAUAUAUAAAGCGAAGAUAUAUAAAGCAAAAAAAAAACAUCACCUAGUUAUUACUGUUUGCGGGGAUCCACACCGUAAUAAUAACCUAAACGAACAUAUAUAACAAUCCAUGUGGGCAGAAAAAAACAUACAUGAGACAUAUAUAAAGCGACGUCAUCAGCUAUCUACUCCAAUUAUCCAACUGUUAAUCUGCUACCUAGAUCGCUUACAUAUGCAGGCCGUUGCAUGUGCCGUGCUAUAUCACGAAGAUCCAAGACAUAAUACGUGAUCUAGACAGACAUGUAGCUGCUCUCUGUCCUUUCUUACUGAUCAAGGAACAUUUAUAAAAUUAAAAUGUUCUCAUCAGUUCCUGCUGAUUGUCUUGAGACAUUAGCAACCGGUUAAUGAUAAAGAAUGGAAAUCAACGGGGGUCGUCAUCAGAUGCAGAAUCUCUUGUAUGCUUAGCUUGUGGAUUACUACUGUAAUAAAUGCGCGUGGCGUAAAGUUUGCACCAAAUCACACAGCGACAAACGGUCAGACAUUGCGUACAUGCAUCCAUGUAUCCCUUCAUUUGACCACAUAAAGCAGUAUUACCUCCGUCCAAUAAUAACGGGGUGUAUUAGCUUUCCUUUGAUCUAUGGUUUGACCACAAAUUAUUCUAAUAAUAUAUAAUUAUAAGGCGUAAGUUGAUAUCCAUUAUAUUUCUAUUCAACGAUAUUUGAUUAUGGUUAUGACUUUGAUCACAUUAGUCACAUAUUAAUAGAGUAAUUUGUGAUCAAAGGCGAAGUACUACAACAGCUAAUACACACUUAUGUUUAAUUAAUUAAAACAGACUUGAUGCUUCCCCUCUACACUUUUCCCCCUGAUUAGUUCCAGCUGCUCCUUCCGAGUAAUUCAAAUACAUCUGCUGUAGUUACCGUUCCUCGCUAUUUGGAUUGAUCGAUUGACUGAUUGAUUAAGGUGUGUGCACGUAAGAAGGUCAAUUAAUUGAUUAACUGACUAAGAUCCGUGUGUUUUGGUCUAGCCAUGCAUGAUUUUCACUUUGCUUGCAAGCAAGCAGAUAGCUAGCUAGGCAGUAUUUCGUGCCUCCCAUGCCAUGCAUCUUGGUUUUCCCAGGCCAAAAAACUGUCUGUCUGUCCGUCUGUCAGGCAGCAAGGGGAAUGGUCGAAUAUUGAACCGGUCAUGCACGGGGUAACUGACGACGCUAGAACACGCAGUAUAUCGUACCACGCACGUCUGCUUCUUCUAUUUUGACAAAAAAUAGCAAAGAUAUUUCUUGUUUUUCCCCUCUUCUCAUUCAUGUUUUCUUGGCAUGCUCUUUCUUUUGGUAUGUGGCAAUAAUGAGCUUAUCCGAGUUAGGAUAAGGUUAGCACAGCCACAAUAUUAAUCAAUACUAUUAGUAUAUCGUCUGGUAGUAAUGUGUUGUUAAGUCAUGAUGGUGGAGAACAACAACACACGCUUUGUUAGUUAGAAUGGCCAGCCAGCUAGCUCAGUUGAAUGCCCUUCAAUCUAUGAUUGAUUUGCGUAUGCAUAUUUCUGUUGAAGCCGUCAUAUAUAUGGCGUGGCAGCUGCAUAUGCAAGAGCUAGUGUCCAACAAACAAGAACCAACCAGACCCAAAGCGUGUCGGCGCCGAUAGCCCGUUCUGCCGUUCCCUUGCGUGGCACGACACGGUAACCAAUCAAAAUCCAUAUCAUUUUUUCCUUUCUCAUAAAAAAUGUCUAGUACAGUCGCAAAAAAAAUAAAUGUUUAGUGCUAUAUACUCCUACUCCUUCCUAAAUAUCAUAAGUUUUUCCUACUAAGUUAUAGUUUUGUCUGUCUUAAAUCAAACUUCUUCAAGUUAUAUAUCUUCAUAGUAUGUCCAUUUAAUAUUGUUGAUCUCAGUAGAUUUUAUUUAACUUAGAACGACACGGACACAAUUUCUUAUACUCGUAGUACUAGUACUAUUUGGGAACGAAGCUGGUACUUAGAGUAUUUUUUUUUCGUGAUUCAAGUAUUUUUAUUGAGUGCCUUAAUGAACUCCAUUUUUCAUUUUCGACUCCGAUGUGGCAUGGGCUUUGCCGCAAGAAAAAAAAACAUCGAAAAAAUGGAAAAAAAGAAAGGAAAAGGAAACGGUAAAGUGUGAAAAGGUUUUAAAAAUGCCAGCGUGGGGUCCACCCAGUUUGAGGUUGACGACGACAAGUAGUUGCAGCAGCAGAGGAGUAUUUCUUUCUCCCUUCCGUGCGCCCAAAUUUCUCCUCUCCCCCCUUCCUUCCUGCUCUCUCUUCUUCGCCAUUCGGGACCUCUUUCUUCUCCAAUCUCGCUACUAACUCCUCUCCGAUCAACCGGUCCAGAGACGGAGGCGCAGCAGACGCACCGAGGUAACACGGAGAUCCAUCCCGCCCAACCAUCUUCUCCUGCCCCCCCUCUCAUGAUUUCUGGUGUUUCUGUUGGUUGUUCUUGUUAUGGGAUUGGAUUCGGUUGGAGCUUGGAAGAACACGCGCGCCGUACAUGCAUUCGGCAACGACAGCGGGGGUUUAUUUCCGAUUUCAAGACCCAAGAACGGAUUUUUGGGACGGAUUUGGGGAUUGGGAUGUUUCUGUCUUCCGUGCCGUCGACUCCCGCCCACCUCUGUUGACUUGGACCUCCGGCCCUUUAAUUUUUUUAUUUUAGGAUUUUUGUUCGGGGGAUUUGUUCUUGUAGUAGUACUAGCUCUUUAUUUUUUUUGGAUCAUUGGGAUUUGGAAGGGACAGCCUGGCCUUCGGGUUGAUCGCCAACGCCCCCGCCUUCGAUUUCACCAACCUUCUUCUUCUUGUUGGUGCGAUUCAAGUUUCAGGCUCCCGAUUUGCUCAGCGUUUCUGACCAUCUGCGCCUCGAUUUGCUAGGUCAAUGCUUGCUCGAUUCCAACCUUCGUGAGCAGUAGUGAUCAAUGGAUGCAUCCCAUUUUCUUUCUCUUUCAAAUUUGUUGACUUGGGAUUUUACUCUAUCUUUUGUUCUCCUGUCGGUUGGUUGGUUUGCUUGUAUUGACCCAGUAAUGGAUGGAUACUAAUGGCGUGCUGCUUGGCUGAACUGGUCAGGCGAAGGCGACCGCCAACCACCCCGGAGGAGAUCUGAGACCCGACCGACCGCCGCCUGCUGGAGGGGGAAGCUGGUGGAGCAGCAGGAAGGGCCGUAUGCUUGUCGCAGGCCAUGUGCCCGGACAUGAAUCCGCGCCAUACAGCAAGGUAGUCUAGUGUUUGAUUCCAGGAAUAUCGCCAUACUGUGUUAUGAAUUUUGUGUCCCAAUUCAUAGUCAUAGGUUCCAUGGGAUGCUCAGGAAGGGCUCUGUAUCAAUGAAAUUUCCUGUAUCAAUAAGCCAAUUGUAGUCUCGGACACCUGGUAUAUGCAGAACCAGAAACUUGCUUAGCCUUUAAUUCAUUAGUGUCGUCUGUUAAACAAUGGAAUGGAAGUUCCUUUAGUUUUCUGGUUUCUGGUCUUGCACGCCUGAAACGUCGGUCAACUCUUCGACACUAACCUGAUGCUGUGUUUGGGUAAACCUGAAUGAAGAUAUUUUGUUUAUUUCUCCGGUCACCUAACCCUGUGGAUAUUUGAUUUUGGACAACCUGGUUUGGUAGAGAAGUGCCCUUGAGGCAAGGGAACUUCCUCAUCAGAUAUUUGUGUCUUUGACUGUGUCUGUGUUUUCUAAAUCCCAUUCUGACCCGGUCUUCUUUUCGUACUGGCAGUCAAGUUGAAUCAGAGGUUCUAGACGGUAAUCGUAACCAUCACAGCCAGCUUGAUGCUGAUCAUCUUGUACAAAUUGGGAGGAGUCCUAUCAAGCGUGGUAGCAACAAUCUGUCCACAGACGACAAUUUCUCCUCGAGUGCCUCUUUGCAUAAACAUGAACAUGUGAGCUCCGAUCCAUCGGCCCCUAAGGCCGAUGACCGCUCAAUUAAGUCUGGUGAUGAUUCUGAUGGGGCUGAGAGUACCAAUGGCAAAAGCAACAAUACGGACUCCCCAGGUACUGAAAAUGAUAGCAUCUGGAUACCACCUGAAGCUGCAGACAAGGGAGAUGAGACCGAGAGUAACAUUGCUUAUGAUGACGACGAUGACGAUUAUGGUGAUGGAAUCAAGUGGGGCCAGUCAAGUUUCCCAGCCGCUGGUGAGGAACACGAGGCCAGCCCCAAUCCUAAGGAUGAGCGAGAAAAUGCAAUGUUGGAAGCUAUGAAUGGACAACUCAAGAUACUCGUGAGUCGGUUUUUGGCCUCUGCUGGUAUCCCCUUUGGAAAAGGAGAGAGUAGUGAGAGUUGGCUCGAUAUUGUGACCUCCCUGUCGUGGGAAGCUGCACUACUUAUCAAACCUGAUUCUACCAUCGGAAAGGAAAUGGACCCUGGCUCUUAUAUCAAGGUCAAAUGUGUAGCAUCUGGUACUCGCUGGCAAAGGUGACACAUUUGUUCACUUAAAGGUUUUUUAAAAUAUAAUGUAUUCUAUCUGCGUGUUUGGUUAUACACGUUCACUUCAUAACCUUGACUGCAGUGAGGUGAUCAAGGGAUUAGUCUUCAAGAAGAACACUGCUCAUAAGCACAUGCCGACCAGUUGUCACAAUCCUAGGCUGCUACUACUGGAAGGAGUCCUGGGGCACUCUGAUGUUGGUUUAUCAUCGUUUAAUUCAAUGAAUCAGGUUGGUCCUUUCAUAUACAUAUGCACAUUGAAUUGUUUAUAGUAAACGCCGUUUAUUUUUGUUGGAUAGAAGAUUAAGACAUCUGUUCCGUGCCUUUAACAAUUAGGAAAAGGACCAUCUGGAGAGGACUAUAAGUAAGGUGAUUGAUAUAUGCAGUCCCAAUGUUAUCAUGGUUGAGAAAACUGUUUCACGAGACAUACAAGAACUUCUAUUAAGACAAGGGUGUACACUAAUUCUUGAUAUGAAGCUCAGCCGGUUGCAAAGAAUUGCACGCUGUACGGGUUCUCCUAUAAUAUCAUUUCCAGAAGUUCUGGAUAAACCGAAGCUGAAGCAGUGUGACUACUUCCAUAUUGAAAAAUUCAUUGAAGAACACAACGAUGCCAGUGAAGGUGGGAAAAGACUGUCUAAAACAUUAAUGUUCUUGGAAGGAUUUCCCAGGCCAUUGGGUUGCACGGUAUGUCUACCUAACUAGUAUUACAUGUAUGAUGCAUUUUAUACAUUUUCAGUUCCAUUCUUAUUUUUUCCCUAAGAUUGUUUAUUUUCCUCCAAAAGCAAAAUAAAUAAACUAUGCCACGGAGUAUUUUUCCUAUGUCUUUUCUUCCCUGAAAUCUCCCCAACCAAAGCAUCCCUUUGUAUGGAAGUGAAAUCCAUAACCAGAAGUUGUUCCAGCUUACUGUGGACAUGUCUAUUACUUCGACCAGUUAUUACUUCUUAAUAGCUGGCUUGUAGACUGUAAUUAAACAUCUUCUCUAUUCGAGUGGUGUGUGGCCAUAAAAUUUUACGGUUUGACUAAUAAGGCAGAGAACCAAGGUGAUUACAACUUGGCAGGAGCUAGAUACACUUAUGGUGCUUUAAAGUAACAAACCUGGUUUUGUUUGUGGUGAGAUCCAUAGUAGUGGUAUGUGCUUUUAUCAAUUAUUACGAUGAGUGAAUACCAAUUGAUAGUGAUAUAUUCCUGCAUAUUAGUUACAUUCCACUGAACAAAUAGUAAGUGACAGACCAAAUUGUGUUUCAUGGAUUGUUAAAUUAUCUGAGUGACAAUGGUUCCUUUCUCAUCCAGAUACUGCUCCGUGGAGCAAAUACUGAAGAAUUGAAGAAAGUCAAGCAAGUCAUGCACUACACAGUCUUUGCAGCAUACCACUUGAUCCUCGAAACGUCUUUCUUUGAAGAUCAGCGGGUAUUCUUAAAUGAUAAAAAUGUUUCCAAAGAAAAUUAUGUCACCGCUAUGGUAGGGCCUUCAGCAAUUGGUGAUGAUACGGCUGUUCUGGGUUGUGCCAUCCCUCCUUCACAUGAUGAUUCUCCAGCACUUAAAUUAUACCAUGCCACUUCUAAUAUCUAUGCGGAUGGGAAGAAAUCUCUCAGUUAUACAAAUGUAGAUGCUCCAGUUUCAAUAACAAACAGCUCUUUGGAUGAACUUGGAGAAGGUGCAAAUGUCCGGCAUAGCUCAACAUCACCCCUUCACACUGGAAGGCUACCACCACCAGUAUCAGGACCAUUAAGAAAAUUUGCUGACAAGUUACAUCGUCAUAAUAUUUAUUUACCUGUCACAUCAUUCCAAGAAACAACUGAUAAUAAAAUAGAAGGCAGGGUUGAAUCUAGGAAAGAGAUGGUUAGUAAUGGAUUUCAUGUUGGGUCAAAGGUGGAAGAGUCUGCAGCUUCCAGUGAAAUUUUGGAUGACACGAAAGAUCUCUUAAAACAAGAAAGGAUCCAAGAAGUAAUGCCAUCAGGUUCUUCUGGGCAUGGCAAACAUGAGGAAUCAUCCGCUAUGGCUGAAGAUGGGGAACAUCACAGCACCAGUAUCAUCAGCAAUGGGAACAUUUCUAACGAAGAUCAAGCCGAUGAUGCACUUGAUUCUGACAGUAUACUGAUUUUGAUGUCUAGCCAAUGCAUCACAAAGCAGAUUAUAUGUCUCCCGAGCCAACUGUGCCGUAUAAAAUACUACGGGAACUUUGAUUUGUCCUUGGGGCGAUAUUUGCAAGACAUUUUGCAGAAUCAGGUAACAACAGUUUACCACUUCUUCGUUUGUUCACACAUUGUUCUUAUUUACACUGAAUAUUAUAUUUUUGUGCUAGUAAUGUACAUUUUAUUUCGGCUCCAUUGAUACUCUUUUUUGCGAUGUUAUUUGGCUCACUAAUAUUUAUUCGUACUAGAAAGCAAGCUGCUCAUCUUGUCAAGAGCCUCCAGAGGCUCACAUAUAUUCUUACACUCAUCAAAAUGGGAAUUUGACUGUUCAAUCAAAGAAUUUGGUGUCCCAACAUCGCUUACCUGGCGAAUCCGAAGGAAAAAUAUGGAUGUGGACUAGAUGCUUGAGAUGUGAACAUGAACAUGGGACAUCUAAAUCGACUCCUAGAGUGUUAAUAUCAUCUGAAGCGCGCAAUCUCUCUUUUGGGAAAUUCCUGGAACUCAGUUUUUCAAGUCACUCCGCAGCGAGAAGGCUAUCCAUAUGUGGGCAUUUGGUGAACAGGGACUGCUUGCGUUUUUUUGGGUACGCUCGAUGUACUUUUCACAUCAAACAAAAUUAUUUUUUGGCUGCCUUUAGAUGUAACUAUUUCUUUAAUGAUAAUUUCUUUUUCUUACUGACUUCAGGUUGGGCUCCAAAGUUGCAAUGUUCCGCUACUCCUCAGUAGAAAUUUACACUACCUGCAAACCACCACCCACCCUCCACUUCGACAACCCUAGCAGACAGAAUUGGUUUGAAAAAGAGAGGAUACAUGUAUGUCUUAAUACUCUCUACCAUUACCAUCUCAUAGUUGUCUCCAGUACAUGCAUAGUAAUACUUUUUUUUUUGCACUUUCAAAGAUUCUUGCUAGAGGUAUGAAACUUUUUUCUGAGGUAGCAACCUUGCUACAACUCUUGAAGAAUCAGCAUCAUGAUGUGACAGCAACCAGUUGUGGCACAUUUGACCCUGUUAAGGACUUCUCUGAACUCGAAGAGUUGUUGAUGAAAGAAAAGGCCGAUUUUGAGGUAGGCAUCCUUGUCUUAAUUUCUUUUAGACUGGAACUUUGUAUGCCAAUGAAUUUGUUAUGUUUAAUUUAUAUUUAUGGGUUACUAUCUUUAUUUUUAUGCAGGAUUCAUUAGUAAAGACAAUCAACCAAAAUGGGAGAUCAUCCUCAUCUGUGCAUGAGCUUCUUAAUAUAAAUUGGUCUUACCAGGAUGUUCUACUUGAACUUUAUGUAUGGGACCGUCGGCUCGACGAACUUUCUAUGUGUAAAUCUGCUGGGCAAGGGAGUGUUGGUAAUAGCAAUAAUCCUAGCGGAACUGCAGACAAGAUUUCUGGGGCCAACUACGAGAUUGACAAGAAAAUUGGUGAACUGACGUGUGAUAGAACUAUGACAGCUGUGAGGUCAGAUGGUACCACUGAUUGCACUGAUUGCACAAGUAACAAUAUUCCCAUUGACCAUCAAUCUGGUGAGACCGCAGCACACUUGCUUGAUGAUAGUCAGGGAGCUGGCAACUCUGAACCUUCUUGCAGUGAAGGUAGUAAAGAUGAAGGAUCUCGAUCUCUCAUUGCUCCUGAUCAAGUAGAGGUAGAGAGCACGCCACAAAACCAAAAAGUACCUUCACUUGAAGUUUCAAGUCAUACAGAGGUCCAGGGUAACGGGGUAGUUGCACAUCCAGUUUCCAAGGAACAAGAGCCUUCAAGCACUCUCCAGAAGUUCAGAAGUACUGAUUGGGAUGACAGUGAUAGAUGGAUUUGGAGUUCAUUUUGUGAGUCUCAACUGGCUUACAGGAAGGACAUUCAAAUGGGAUGUUUGGAGAAAUUUUAUCUUGUUAACCAUUACUCCCCAUCUCACCUCUCCCCCUUGUUUGAAAAACAUGAGGAGGUGGACACUCCUCAGUUCACAGUUGGCCCCGGUGGUAAUAUUUUAUGUGUAUUGGAGCAUGAGGUAUCUAGUAUAAUAGCUCGUGCUCUCGCCAUAUCUGAGGAACGUAGGCAGGAUACCAUAGUCGAGAACGAGACGGGGGAGGGCAGGGUGGAGCAUGGUAAAACGAUGGAGAAAUCCUAUAGCUUUUUCUCUGAAGGUUCUUUUAGCUCGUCACCAUGGUCAUCUAUUGGAUCAUUAGAUUCUGAAGCAAGCUUUUCAUCUUCUAUUUCGUCAUAUCCAUCUGACGACCUCUCUGGUUAUGAUACCUUGCCUUUAUUGUCCUUGGUACACCCAGAAAUCACUGUGAACGGAAAAGUAACUCUCAGAGGCAAAUAUUCGGUUACUAGUAUAUAUUCGAACCAAUUCUACCUUCUUCGAAAGAAGUGCUGCCCAUCUGAGCUUGCAUAUAUUACUUCCUUAAGCCGCUGUAAGAAGUGGGACGCUCAAGGUGGAAAGAGUAAGGCUUUAUUUGCAAAGACAUUGGAUGACAGGUUCAUCAUAAAGCAAAUCAAGAAAACAGAGUUUGAGUCCUUCAUAACAUUUGCCCCUGAUUACUUCAAGCAUGCUUACCAUUCUCUAGACACUGGCAGCCAAACUUGCCUUGCCAAAAUAUUAGGAAUCUAUCAGGUAGGUUUUUUUGACAACUGAUUUCUAUUCGAUUUAUUUCCUGACUUCUAUUGGGUUUUCAUAUGACUUGUUGUUUCAGGUCAAGCAAAUAAGGCAUGGCAAAGAGAUCAAAAUGGAUCUGAUGGUGAUGGAAAAUCUCAUGUUUGGGCACAAUAUUUCACGAAUUUAUGACCUUAAAGGUGCUAUUUUUUCACGACACAUCGCCAAAUCAAAUGACCCUGACACUGUUUACUUGGAUCAAAACUAUGUUGAGGACAUGCGUGUAUCUCCGAUCUAUAUUGGUGGAAGAACGAAGCAUCUUUUGCAGCGUGCAAUCUGGAAUGACACAUCAUUCCUCACUGUAUGUAUAAUGCAUAUCCUAUAUCUGCAGAUAAUCAUGUUUUCAAAUAAAUAUAUGUCCUAACAAAAUUAUUGUACUUGCAGUCAGUUAACGUUAUGGACUAUUCUCUGCUUGUGGGAGUGGACAAAGAAAAGAAUGAACUUGUGUUUGGCAUCAUUGAUUAUUUGAGGCAAUAUACUUGGGACAAACAGCUGGAGACAUGGGUCAAGAGUUCUUUGGUUCGAAAAAAUGUUUCACCGACUGUAAUUUCACCCAAGGAUUACAAGAAAAGGUUUAGAAAGUUCAUGGCCAAGUACUUCCUCACAGUUCCGGAUACUUGGAGUCCCGAGAAUUCUUCUGGGCCAUACAAAUCCUUUGGCCAUAGCAAUAGCAAGUUGGUAGAAGCCGAUAAUGAUGACAACCUGCUUCAGCAUCCAAUUGAAGCUGAGGCAUGUGUCUAGUUCUGUUCAGGCUGGCAUGUGUCUAGGCUAUUCAGGACUCCUCUGACAGUGCUGUUGAAGCCUAUCCAGUCGUCGUCGUUGUUGUUUCUUUGGCUUGUUUUCGCUUUGUAAAAUUGUGUACAUAUGAGGGCCUCACAAUUGACCUUUCCAGAAGUUUGCACCUUUUAGGCAGAUUACUGGGCAAGUGAGGCCCACAGUACAUGUACCUAUACAAAUGUAAAUUGUUGAUUUCACAAUUAUUAUAGUGAAAUUUACAAAAUUGGUAUGAUUUUUUUGGGAUCUACUAGGCUGAAGCCUUUUCUACUUGCUUAAUUAUUUCUUAUAAUGCCUGACACGGCUAACCGUCCAUGUUGGACUUCUGAUCUCUGUUCAAAUUUGAUCAGUUUGAUCCGUAUUUGACUUUCAUUACUCCGCUAUAGUUACAUUCAUGGAAAUGGCCAAUUUAAUGCCUCUUGAUCUUACUGCACACCUUAUGAAGAACAUUUUGUUGUCAGAUGGACAUUGUCUAUUUUGUUGUGUGCACCCAGUCACUACAAUUUUGCAGAUCUGCUGGUAUGAUAUGUACUGCUUACUUUCUUUCAUCAAUCAGUUCCACGUAUUAUUUAAAAUGAGUGAAAUCAAGUUAAACUUGUUUGUUCCAAGUUUGUUCCUUGAAUUUUGUUGUAAUAUGUGUUUAUGCCCCAAUCUCUCUUAUGAUAUCAAGAAACAGAAUAUAAUUUGAUUCCUGUUUGUUUUCAGGAAAUAACUCACUGGGGAGGACACCACUCUUUAUAAGUCCUGCAUCACAUAGUAGCUGCCUGGUGACAUGCCUCAUCUAUGCAGUUGGUCUAUGACUCUAUGUUCUAUACUUUAUUGCUAUAUAACACUUGAUAUUUUAUAUUCUCAGCUUUGACGAGGCAAAUUGUUAGUAGAUCCUAAAAUUAACUAUUUAUUUAAUUUACACAGUACACACUUUGCUGAUAAGGGAUGCUCCAAAGUAAUGCUCCAGUUCCUUUUCUAGAACCACUGGUUAUUUAAAUUGGUGCAUUUUCAGGAGAAUUAUCUAGCAUCCUGUAAUGCAAUUUCUGAUUGAUCAGAUAAUUGAUGGAAAGAACUUUCUGUGUAUUCACUUAGCAGUCUGGCUGAUACUUAACAUCUACUAGUGUGUGCAAUCCAUAGUCUGGACCAUGAACAUCGGCAGGAAGGGAUUCCUGCAAAUGAACAUGUGAGACCUCGGUGAGUUAGUUCAUUUUAAGCUUUCUUAUUUUCUACCCUUGCAAAACUUUGUUGACUAAUCCACAUAACCCUUUGUUGAACUUUAUAGUGCGUAGCACAUUUUUCUGCAGCUAUAAUCUUAUCAUACUAUCUUAUAAAAAUUCCUGAUGAAUGUUAAACAUGUGUUUUUAUCAUUUGGCUGCAUUGGUGGAAUGGUAGAUAGUAACAGUAUACAUUUCCAAGAAAUGUGGUAUUUGAAUAUAGUCCCAUUGAUCUUCCCAAAGAGUUGCAGUGUGUGCGUGCUUCUUUCCGAGAGUCCUAUAUUUGCAUUUAUUUUUCACUGAUUGUUUCAGUGAGUAUGAAACUAUGAAUUCAUAUGCAGUGUCGCUUGUGAAGUUGGCUUUGCAGCAUUUAUCUCAAGACAUUCCUUUUUCCCUGUCAUUUUAUUACUAACGCCGUCCAAACAUAACGAGCACAAUGCAAAACCACCUUCGCCCACUUUUCCAAUUGGAGUUGCUAUUUGUGUCUUAAUACAAUUCUUUUUUUGCUUCCAAAAUGGCACAUAUACUGUUGUUAUAUAUGUGUGUGUUCAUGCUAAACUUUCUAGCUCAUGCCUUGUGAUCAGGAGAUUAUGUGUUGUCACAAUGUGCUUGAGAGACAUUCUUGGGCAUGUCGUGCCACUUGCAUCUUUGUUUUCAUGACUGAUGAAUACACUGGGUUACGUGACAGAUGAACUCAUGUUAGUUUUUCGAGCAGAGUCUACCUCUUGCUCAUUUGCGAGCAGUACUGAUUUGAAUAAAUGAUAGUACAGUACCUCAGAAGUCAGAGCACUGCUUGGAACAGGCGGUAAUUUGCUUCAACUGUAAUCUACACAUAUAGUCACAUCCGCUGAAUCUUACAUAGUUAACUUUUAAACAUGAAUAUAAGAAAUUGUUGACACUUCCUUCCCUAUAGUAGCAAGAGGCAGUAGUCUGCUAUUGUACCAAUCAUCAGUCAAGGAGGUAAUCCACAAGAAUGGGGUUGGCAUGCAUCUCUUUUCUCCUUUUCACUUUUGCAGGAGGGCAUCAAAUACAUUGGCAGUAAGAGUAUGACCAGAGGGAGGACUUUUAGAUCAUUGCAGAGUGGCUCAUCAUGAUUGCGUGGAUUCUAUGCAAGUCUUGUCAUUGAGAGGGAGGUUACAAAAGGAUUGUCUGGAGAAGGUGAUAAUCUGUGUAAUGAUGCUGAUCCUAACAUCACUGAUUCAUAUAGAUUGGCACACCAUAUUUUUUUUGAAAGAGAGAGAUUGGCUCACUAUAUUUUGAAUUCUGGAUUUAGGAUUGUAAUAAGGAAUGAGUUUUCUCUCGUACAUCUUUGAGAUUUCAUUAAUCAUUUUUUUUUGCAGUGCUACUCUCAGUCUGUUUGAAGUUCCCAUUAACUGCCGAUUUUGAACAGUAAGCAUUCAUCCUAGGUGCUAAUUUUAUUACACUGCACUGCAAACUCUUUCAAUAGCUCUUUCAAUAGCUGAAUGCUUUGUAGGAAUAAUGUCGCAUUAGAUUUUUCUCAUUUCAUUUUUGAAUUUUUUUUGUUUAGUAGCUAAUGAUGAAUUGAUCAAAUCUGAAGAGAGAACUGUGGCAUGGCACUGAUGUUUUCUUGGUUGCAGAUCCUGCUUUAGCAAAAAGCAGUUGGUGUCGCCAUUUCAGUAUAAGGGAUUCGAUUUGGUCGAUUUAUGCUCAGCUUUUUCCUGGUACUGGCAGAAGCUGCCUGAACCCCAAAGUAUGGAGCAUGGAUUAUGCUGCUGCUUACCAUCAUUUCUCUACUGUAUAACCCUGUAAAGCAGCUCAAAUCAAUCAAUUUUGCAUUGCAGCAGUUGAGGGCAUUCUCCUUUUUCCUGGAACCGAUGCCUUCGAGUUCAAGGUGAUCAUCAUGUCCCAAUUCCAGAAGGCGAUCUCAUGAUUCUACAACCAAAACGAUGACUGCUGUCGGAGAUCAUAUGGAGAAUCAUGUCAGGUAACUCGUUUUUUUUUUCAAAGCCACACUAAGGUGUGUAUUGUCCCUAAUUCCUUGCCUUGUCAUCUUCUCUAUUUGUAGUAAAAUAAUCAAUCUUUACUCUGCCAGUCGCCAUGGCAACUAGUGGAGUGAUCAAUGAUAAGGAAGGUGAUUAGCCUACCACCAAAGAACAAAAAGAAGACGCAAAAGAUGACAAGCACAAGAGUUCAUUUUAACACCCCUAGUUGCACCCUUUUUGUCUCUGUCCAACAAGCUGCCCACAUCUCCACAGCACUUUUCCAGUUACAGAAAAGGGCAAAGAGUCGCUUCCCUUUUCCAAUGCAGAUUCUUCCUUUCACUAUCAACCAUUAUAUCAUUCAUCCAUGGAAGAAACUCCGCCUAGAUCAAUGCAUUAAAAAUUACUACACAUAUUCUGAUUCUGAUGCUCAUAAUAGGUAGGCCUAAGCACAAACUGCCUGCCAUCACCAUUGCUGCUUAAAGAAGACACGAUGCAAAGAUGAUAGACACACACACUAGCUGGCUAGCUGCUAUGGUAGCUAGAGAGAGUAGCUAGAUUACCCAAUCACAAAAGCAAAAAACACCUACAUUUUUCUUAAAAUUGUUAGCCUAGUUGUACUAUCUACCAUGCCCUGUUUGUUUCUGCUAAUAGCUGCUGCAAACUCCGAUCAGCUUCAGCGAUGGCUGCACAGGUCAGACAGCAUCUUCCUGCCUUCCACAAUCUCAUCAAAGAAGUCAUCCAGUUCGCCGACGACACUCUCCGCACCUGACUGCAGCACCCCAACCCAGCCUUUGAUGAUCUCCACCCUCUCGGCGAUCUCACCGGGGUCGGCAUACCCUGUGGCGAUGACCCUGUCGAACUCUGCCUUGAGGCUCUCGAUGCCGGCCCUGGCCUGCCGGAACUCGUACAUCAUGACGCCAGAGCCAGAGUGCUGCCCGGCUACUGCCUCCAUCUCCUCGGCGACGCGCUGGCGCAGGCGCCCCAUGGAGGAGACGUAGCCAGCACCCGUGGCACGGAACAUGGGCGCACAGCCAAGGUCCGGGAGGCAGGAGACCGUCCCAGAGAUGAGGAUCAUGAGGAGGAAGGAGCUGGCGUUGCGCAGCGCGUAGAGCACGCCCCGGAAACCGUUGAAGGCGUUGAGCUUGAACUCCACGGGCGACCGGUCGUCGAGCAGCAGCGACGCUGGGUCGAUCCUAGCCUCCGCAAGCGCCCGGUUCUCCUGCUCCAGCCCAACAGCCUGCCGCCUUGGCGCGUUGAUCGCACGCAUCACCUGCCAGCCAGUAGGUGUCAAUGAUGUGAUCAGAAUCAGAUAUAUUCAGAUCAAUAGAGGCAGGGGGGGAUCGUCGAUCGGACUGUACCUGACGGGCUGUGUGUGGGUUGGGGCUGCAGAGCCAGUCGUCGAAGGCGGCAUCGAUGCGGGUGGCGGAAGCGCAGUAGGUGUCCAGCGCGGUGGCGCCGGCCUUGACGACCUGGCAGGCCUCCCAUAGCCGGGAGGUCUCGUCCAUGUACUCGUCCAGCCAGCUCUCACCGGGCGGCAGGUGGAGCCGCUGCACCAGGUGGACGAGCUGCGAAUGCAGGGACCGGAGCAGCGCCGCUGCCUGUUGGAGGAACGGCGCCGACACGAACGCGCCCUCCGGCGACGAUGACGAGGCGGCCAGCGUGCCGUGGAGUUCGUCCAGGCCGUGCGCGAUGGAGGAGUAGAAUCCGUUCAUGGCGACUCUAUUUGUUGUAUAACUGGGAGCAGCAGAGCAGAGCAAAGAUCGAGAUGAGAAGAGAGUGUGGUGCAUGGGAGUGGAGGCUCUGCGCUGAGCUGGAACAGAGACUCUCGGUCAGCUUAUAUAGAGGAAGACUAGAAGACUGGACUUAGAGUGAGGGCAGUGAGUUGUACUAUGGGGAAGCAAUGAUGGUUUGUCCGGCGGUCAGGGGGAAGGAUGAUUGGGGACUGGGCUGGGCAGCCAUUGCCAGGACUCCUGUAUGUGCUCCUCCUCUUCAUGACCAUUCUAAUGGCAUUGCCAAUGCUUGAGAGCUAGUCCUACUAGCAUGCAAUGGAAUGCAUGGGAAAAUGUACUUACUCAGCCUAGCUAGCUGCCACAGCCAUUUUAAUUUCCCCAUGAAUAUCCCACCAGUUAAUUUCCCCAUGAAUAUCCCCCCACUCCAGUACUCCUACUCCAAUUCUUGUCUUGAGUUGCAUACUGCUGGUCCAGAUUCAAGGGUAGGGACCAUUUGCCAUUGACAGUGUACUACUGGCGAUUGAUUAUGAAGUUGUUGGUGCUAAUCAAGGACUCACUAGUGCUACUACUACUUGAGCAGACAGCUGUCAUCUGCUGCUGCUGCUGCUUUCCAUAUUCUGAAUCCGGGUGGGAGGGAGGAAAAAGGAGGGGGGCCAAUGUGCCGGGCCUCUGCUGGGAGCACCAUCAAUAAGCAGCAAGGAAGCAAAGAGAAGCAAGCGCUGGCUGCACUGCACUCCCCUGUCUGGCCUUCCCAAUGCACUCAGCCACCUGUUAGUCCAGAAAGGAAACAUUUUUCCUGGAUACAUGAACUCUAUGGAGUAUAUUGACCAUUGCAGCCACUGUGGGUACUUCUUUGCAACAACAUAUAUAUAUAUAUAUAUAUAUAUAUAUAUAUAUAUAUAUAUAUAUAUAUAUAUAUAUAAUAUAUAUAGUAUGGCAGCUAGCUGCAAGCAAAUGUGUUUGUUUUCUUGUUCUUUUUUCUUUUGUGCAGGCCUGAAGAGGAGCUAGCUUCUUCUUCUUCGAGAUGCAUGGGAUGCGUUGCUGCAUGAGCCAAUAGGAGCAGAGGAGUAUGAGGACAAAGUUUCAAAGGUGGCAGGGAGUCCUAGAGAUGUGUCGACAAGGUGAGCUGUACUCUACUGCUUACUUGCCCGUGGAUUAGUGGGGCACUUAAUUUAAUUUGCUUGAAUUGAUGUUAGGAGGAAUGAUGGGUUUCCUUGUACCCGUACAAAUCUCUCAGUCCGCGGCCAACACAACCCCCAUGCUUCCAUGCAAUGCAAUGCCAAUGCAAUGGCUUGGCCGCCUUUUGAGGUCCUUCUCCCUCUCGCCCGGGCCUCCAGUCCGGCAAUCAUGCCCAAUAUAUGCUCUCGUGCCCCCUUCUUCUUCCUCUCCAUUAUGACUACUCCGUUUCUCUAGGGCACACGUCGGGCCCCGCAUGUCGGUCAAGCCCUUGAGAAACUCAUGACAGUCUUAAUUCCAACACACAACUUCUACAAAAAAAAAAUGUUUCUAUUGUGAUGAUACUGUGUAAAUUAAGAAGACUACAAAUUAGUCUGGAUUGACAACAUUUCUAACAUAGUCUAUGUUGCUUGUAAAACAUGCAUGCUUGUAGUAUACUAGUACUGCAUAUAUGCGGUGGCUUCAUUAUAGUAUUAGGAUUGUCUUUUUGGUCCAAUCCAAUUCAAACACCACAGCUUCAUCGGUGCAUGCAAUCCAUCUCGUGGCAAGUGCUAAACCCUUUUAAGAAAUGGAGCUCGUGGGGUUUUGGGAGGAGGCGAGGGGGAUGUGGAUUUGGUUGGGGAAAUCAAAGGGGAUGUGUGUUGUUUCCUUUGCCCUAACCAAGAACAAAGAUUAAUUAAGCUAAAUCUUACUCCAUGAUCCAUGCAUCAGCUAGGAGCUACCUUUGAAAUACUACUACUACUUGGCCAGCCGUGCCGUACAUGCUGCGUGGUUGACCGGUGGGGGUCCAAGCACCACUCAUCGGCCGGCCAUGAAUAUUCUUCUUGUCCUCUUCCUGCUCUCUCUCUCCAGUCCUAUAAUCCAUGCAUUCAUCUCACUAUGUAUAUAUAGGCUCAUUGCAAAUUAAACAGAUCAUAAAAAGCAAAGAUCAUCUGUUUUUUUUAUUUAGAUCAAGACGGUUCGACUCCCAUAAUUGAAUUAGAUGAAAAGACCAUCUGCUAAACGUUUGCCAAACAGAAGAACAUACAGUUCAUAUGCAAAACACUUUUAUUGUCGGAAAAAGCACAUUUUUUUGGUGUGUGUUCUAUCUAAUCAACUCUCUGUGUCUUAUGUGUUAUAUACUAUCUAAGUAAACUGUUUCCUGCAAAUUUUUCCGUGGCGCGGUCUCUAUUCCGCAUCCGCAAUAUAUCCUCUCAAUUUCUUCACAUAUAAAUUUCCAUGAAUUAAUUUGGUUUUCAUAGCAACGAGAUCCAAAAGGGCAUUAAUUAUCUGCCUGCCUGCCACAGUAAUUUUACUUCUUGGAUAUACACACAUAUAUAGUACACUUACUAUUGGCGACCUUGUCCUGGACGCAUAACUCCAUUGUUUGCUCGAACUUGUAAAACAGGUGGUCACGGAUAUAUCUACGUGGCACACGUAUGCAUGUCUAGUCCAAAUUAGCAUAUGGGUUGGCGGCAACAGCAUGCAUACAUGAAAGCAGCAACGGCUAGCUUUUAAUUUAGCAUGUCUGGUCAGUCACACACACACACACACACACACACACACACUAAUUUUCUCUCUUCUUUUUUCAAAAUUUGUACAGACAUUAUUAUGAAAAUUAGCAGUACUACACUGCCAGUACAGAGUACUACUGCUACUGCUAGGUCUCAUGAUCAAAGUUGCUAGCUUAGCUAGGUGUGCUGUAGAGCUGUAGGAGUGUAGUAGUAGCUUGCAAUGGUGUGGCUGCUGGCUUGACCAGAACUUUGAAAAAUGCAUGCAAUGCAUCUAUGCUUGGACAGCAGCAGUCUACUACUACAAGUACUUAUCACUCUACAUACAGUACACAGAACAGAGAUCAAAGUUGCUGCUGCUGUUGUUCUUCUGAAGCAGCAGCCAUGCAUGCAUAAGGCUGACAGACGGUGGUGUUCUGUAUUAUAGCGUAGCUGGUUCUCGUUUGAUUACUGCUGUCAAGAGAACCCCGUGCGAUGCUACGGAACAACGGAAAGUGUAUCAAGCACGAGCCGGUGGAGGCGAAGUCUGGACAUUGAUCAACCGGCGCUCCCCUUUGAGUUGAGAUCUGCAGGCGCCUCCUCAGCCUCGUCAACGACGGUGUGGUUCUCGCUUCCCAGCAGGGGUGGAGAUCUCCAGCGGGCUUCUGCUUCCCUGUCUCCGUCACGCCUUGUAUCCUCGAUGGGGGUCUCUGGGUCGGUGGUCAGGGGCCGGACGAAAUCCCUGCCCGGCUGCGUCCGGUGCCAACGACGGCGACGCCUACGGGCGCCUUUACCUCCUUGGAGGCGUGGUCGUGGCCCCUGACCAUUCCUUCUCCAUCCUCGGGCUCCAGGGGAAACCCUUGGUUCGGUUUGCCAUGGCUCCGAAUCAGGCAGCAGCAGCGACACCUUGGCAUCGUAUCCUCCUUGGAGGCACUGCUUUGGUAGCCCGUGGGAGUUCGAGUGUCGUGGCAUGAGAUGGCAGCCUCUCUAUUCUUGGCGGCGAGGCUUGGUGGUAGCGCGAAGCCGGUGUUGAUCCUCUGCUCUGGGCGUUGGACUUCAAGGCGCGAUGUUCGUCACUAUCGGUUCCCUAGAUGAUGCAUCCUUCCCAAUUCAGUCUGGUCCAUUCCUCUACUUGCCGACCGGGGCUUGAUCUGCUUCCAGAUUGGCCUCCCUUCUUAGGCGUAUUGUUGGGGGUUGGCCAGGGUGGUCUUGGUGUCAUGGUCGCAGAUUUGGGUGUCCUGCAGCUAUCGUGAAGCGGCCUUCAAGGUCUUGUGCUCUGCCUUCUUUGCCCUAGGGCUGGAGGUGGGCAAGGCGAGUCUCAUGUCAUUGUGGUUUGAAGCUUGGUGGUGUCUCUUUAACCUGCUCUGACCCCAAGUUGGCUCAAGAUCUGUUGGCUGUAGGUCUAGGCUAGCUAGGGCUCCGUCUUAGGUCGUCCGGAGAGGACGGUCAUGUUUUUUCUUGCUUGGCCUCGCCGUUGGCGGGUGCGGUGCAUAUGUUGUAAAUCUUGUAACUUUUGGUUACUCACGCUUCUUUGCGCUUUCUUCUUAAUGAAAAUGACAUGCUUCCAGGCGUGUUCGAGAAAAAAAAAUUAGAGUCUGUUUUGAGGAACAAAUUGGCAGUUAAAUGCUUGAAGUUCAGUUCAGUUUGCUGCUGGAAUAAAGAAGAAACAACAAUUUUGAAUUGCGAUGAGAUCUAUCGAAGAACACAGCUAGCUCAUAUAUAAUGCUCUCCAUGGAAUUUGGGGUGAAAAAGGGAAGGAAAGAAGAGGAAAGCUGAAAAGAGGCAACUAAAGGAGAUGCUAGUCAAGUGUUCUCCAAAUUUUGUGUUGAAUGGCGGCUAUAUUCAUGAGUAGCAGCAAGUAGCCUAACUAGUCAAGUGUCCUUGCUGUGAUGAAUUGAAGCAGGCAGGGCAGAGCAGAGCUGUGUGUCCUCCUAGAAGCUAUAGCUAGACCUGAAGAAAGUGCAUAUCCUCCUCUAUCACUUUUCUCACCGCCAAGUUGUAAAGGGGAGAAAGACAUGCAUGGAAACUGCAAAGUUGCCUCGCUUUUACAAACCAUUGCCUUUUUGCAGGAUCUGAUCUCUAUUUCCUUUCCUGUUACCUCUCCAUGCAGCUGCUAUGCUGCUAUAGUAGCGUAUGAUCUUGGCCAUCCAUGCAUUUCUCCGUCUUGUAGCUCGGCUCGGCUGCCUAAUUGCUGGCUAUGUUGGUUGCUUUCUGGAGACAGAGAGGGAGAAUAUGCUCCAUGUUGUCCAAAAGGGAAACGCAAAAUCAAUUGCAUCCACGGUGGUUCGUUUCUUUCCUUCUCCACACUGUCUUUCUGUCUUCUUUUCUUUCUCUCUUACGUUUGUAUUUCUGAAUGAAUUGGUUGUGGUUUUACAUGUAUGUUGAUUUUUGUUUUAAAGCGUUUGCACCAACAUAUAAUACAGGCAGUUUUUUUUACAGUGCAAGAAAAGGAGAAGGACAGAAAUGAAGGGAAGCUGUAUAACUUUAACACAGCUGCUAUACAACUAUACAAGAGAAGAAGCAGAGACUCUGACAUUGAACUUGAUCAUGGGCCAUUUGGAAUAUGCUCUGACAUGGAGGUGGUAAACAAGCUCAAUCGGUUUAUCAAAAACCAGCAAGGUACAAGCAAGGGUCCAGACACUGAAGAACUGAACAAAAAGCAAGAUAAACCAGGCGAGAGAACCGCCCAGCAAAGUUGCAGACGCUAAACUAUCAGAACAACUACAAGAGUCACAAAACAUCACGAUAAGAAACAGAAAGGCUCAUUUGUGUACUAAGAUGAUAUAACUUUGCAAUAAAAUUGGCUGUGCGCAUCGUUUCAUCGUUUCGAUGCAGAGGCCGGGAAGAACCCCUUUUCGAAAAAAAACGGUUCGUCCUUUUCCAAUGAGCGUUCUCUAGCAUGAAUUCGAAUGUAAUUCGUGCACGUAAAUGAGUGGAAAAAAGAAUGCUGUUGCAAGGGGUUGGAUCAUACUGUCUAGGAGAUCUUAUCUAAUGACAUACAAACAGGAGGCGCUCGUGGCCUAAUGGAUAAGGCAUUUGACUUCUAAUCAAAGGAUUGUGGGUUCGAGUCCCACCGAGCGUGUUCUUUUUUCUUAAAUUUUUUUCAUUCAUUAUGCUUCCCAUUGAAACUUAUUUUCUUCAGCGCAUGCUAUUCAUAAGUCGUCUAAAAAGGAAUUUUUUUUUGUGCCAAAUUUUAGCAGUAAUCUUGUUGUAGCAUCGGCAACCCCAAUCAUGAAAAUAUAAAUUCAUAGAAGUGCCAGCAUAAGAUAAGAUGCUAUUAAUUUGUCCAGCAACUGAACACAGACGCUAGAAAAAUUCAGAUCAGGAUUCCAAGAACAAUAAACUGGGUGCAGCGACCAGCAUUAAAGCUUAAAGCAAUAGGGAUUGUAAUCCAGGGGUCAUCAAACAUAGUAGCAUUGUCACUGACACCAAAAAGAAUGUAUAUAUGCUGGAGCCUUUCUCUAUGCCAAAAUGCUGUUUAUUAAUUGUCUCUAUGAUUGUCAACAGCUAGGGACUAUGCAUUGUAUUGCUUCCUAGAUCUUCUCUUGCUUUUCGCCUACGAGGGGGAGCAUCUCCAUCCGGCUUCUCGGGGUCCGCGGGCUCAGGGUGGCGCCUUGCUGGGAGAUGAGAUGCCUCACGUAGCCGUAGAAGGUGCAGCCGACGAGCGUGAUCCCGCACCCGACCGCGUUCAUGGCGGAGAUCGGGUUCCGGAAGAUCAUCCAGGAGAUAAGCACCGCAGCAGCUACCUACACAGACCCAUCAUGGUACCAUCAGUUUCCCAAUGCUGAACUUUGUUUGUUGGACUGAAGAAGCAGAGUGAAGAGGAAUGGGGAUAUCAGUGCUCUCACCUUGAGGUUGCCGGCCACGUUGAAGGUCACGGCGGUCGUCGAAUGGAUGACGUAGAAGAUGGAGAAGUUGAGGCAGAAGGCGAGAAUUCCUGAGGUGAUUAUGAUGAUCAGUGCAGGGACAGUUGACUCGUAUGUGUAUAGCCAGUUGAUCACGCCGCCCCCUUCGAGUACAAUCGCUGGUACUGACAGUAUCAUGGUGGCAAAGGGUGCCAUGUAGUACACCGUGUUAAUGCUGCAGAGAGAAAAAAGGAACAGAAAACACAGGUAACCAAGAGGAAAAAUAUGCAAUAUCGUAAUUGAUCGUGUAGGUACUAUGAAAAUAUGAAGAAAUUCUACAUAGCAUGAUGACAACAGAAGCGCUAUUACAUUAUCCAUGAAUAACUCUGUUAAGAACUAUUGUGAAUUAUCAGAUGACAAGAACUACUUCCCCUUUUAUUUUUACUUUUUCUUGUUGUGAAGCUCAAACAGAUGCUAUAAGAUCAUUUCCUCUGUAAACUGACUGGAUCACUGUUUACCUGUCAAAUUUGUAUCCAUGGAGUAGGGAUUCUGCCAAGAUGGUCUUUGUAGACGUGGCGAGGCAGCCAACCAUGGCGGCACAAAAACCAAACAUGUUGAAGCUAAGCUCAGUUACUGAAGUCAAGAGGAUUCCCCCCACAAUAGGAACCAAUGAAGCCCAUAUGCGCCACUCAAAGUAUUUCCUCCAGACCAACCACUGCAGGAUAACUGUUCUACAACGAAUCAGAAAAUGACGCAACAGCAAGUGCGAAAAAGGCGUCGUCCUCGAAGAUGAACAAAUCAGAGAACCUGUCGUUGCAGGAGUGAAGGAUUUGAUAGUCUGCAUGAAGGAGACUGGGAUGUACCGCAGGCUGACAUUUCCCAGCACGAUGUUUAUGCAGAACACAAAUGACAUGGGGAAUAUCCUUUUCCAGCGAUCCUCGGGGGCAACCUCGAUCAGCGGUUUUAUCUUGAGCAUUUUGAUUGCGAUGUAAGCUCCGAUGGAAGAGCAUAUGAAGUGGACGCACGACACGGUCAGAGGAAAUUUGAACUCCAGUUUCUGCAUCCCAAGAAAAAAAAAAUCAAGUUCAUGCUUUUCUGCUGAGGAGGCUGCAAUAGUGCCACUGCCAUGAACUAAUUGUCAGUUUAAACUUGAAAGCAAAAAAAUGUUCAUUCCAAGAGAAAGAUGGUGGCAGAAGCCCAUGAGAAACAUCAGUCAUAUCGACUCUUCUACAUGUCAUUUGCGAUUAAGUAUGUUCUCAAAUAUUAUGGUACUAGUCCACAAAAACAUAUUAGCACAUAAUCAAUGUUAACUCCGAAGUCUGAACCUUGGGACAUUUUUCAGCUCACUAACGAAAUGGCUCCCAUCUCCAAUCCAUUUUGCGGAUUGUAAUCUACAUUAAAACCAAUAAUUACCAUCCCAAAUAUUUCCAAUCCUUCAUGUUUCUGAUUCUUCUUCCCACAAAUAUCUUCGUCUUAACUCCAAACCUAAUCCUUUUGUGGAGAAACCUAAUUCCAACAAUUUACAGCCAUGAAAAAGGACAAUCCCUUCAUAUUCCUAACAACAUGAUAAAUCAAAAGCCAGCUAAUCUGCUCCCCUGAUUGCGCAGAUCAACCCAUAAACAUGAACAAAUCCUCCGGAAGACGAGGAAAUCGAGAAUAUAUAUUGAAAGAAAAGUUGUAAGCAGAAUGGGACGGAGGGAGAAGAGCGGCCGCGAGACGGACCUGGAAGAUCCAUUUGUUCAUGAUGAUGACGGUGACGUUGAAGCACCACCAUUGGAGGAUGGCCAGCACCGCCCUCACCGUCGCCACGUUCCCCAUCUUCCCUUCCUCCAUAUGCAGCGCACAAAAACAACAAAGAUCCCCUGGAUUCAAUUCCAAUCCCACUAAAAAAGAAACGCCUUUAAUUUCUUCCAGCCGGAGUCCAGGAGAGAAGAAAAAGGCAGAAAGAGACAGAUGCUGGAACGGCUGGCGUAUUUAUGUGUAAUUAAUCAGUGGAAAACUCCUCUUGAUGAUCCAUUUGUGGAAGGCAGCAGGCUGGCUUCUAGAAGACCAUGGUGGUUCUUCUAGAAGGUUCCAGAAGCCGUCAAGGCGUCAGGAGAAGAGGAGGAGGAGGAGCUAGAGGGGUUUCGCUUUCGGUCGUAGGAUUUGCAGGUUGUGGUUUUUAGGUUGAGAGUUCGAUUGGUGUGAUUCUUGCCUCUCAUAAUACGUGUUGCCACUCUUCUUCUUCUUCUUCUUCUUCUUCCUCCUUCUUCUUCUUCUUCUUCUUCUCUUCUUGUAUACGUCAGCCUAGCCAGCUCAGGCUUGGACACGUGUCACGUGGGACCGUCUCAGCCGAGCUUGGACACGUGUCAUUUAAAAACUGUUUAAUGGGUCGACAUAUGGGCCUCUCUAUGAGACUCCCCUGGGACCUCCAACCAAUCCCUGCAUCUGCACAGAACACACCAUUCUUCUGAUGAAAUCAACAGCAUUUCAAGCUCAGCUCACCCGUAGAAAAGCCAGCUUGCAGCAGCCUUCUUCCCCUUCACCACCAACAAUUAUUUUACAUUCCCAAUCACAAAUCGAUAACAGAAAGCACAAACAAGUAGCUAGUCAAACAUUGUUCUAAAAUAUAUGUUCUUCAUCAUCAUAGAUCAGAGGGAUAAAAACAACAGGUGAUGAAGCACAAAACGUUGUAAACAAAACAGCAUCAUUCGUUGCUUACAGCAAACACCGAAUUAACCUCCCUUCUCCACACAGAAAGGGAAACAUCAAAUGGAGUAAUAACGUUCCAUGCAGAAACAGCCAACAUAAACAGUCUUCAACAGGUAAGACUUGUCCCUGUAAAUGUCAACUGCACAACUGACUGGUUGAUUCAACCAGUCAUGUCAGGGUACUGUAUAUGGCCCCUUCAAAGAGGGGGCCGCCAAAAGGAUCAUCCUUUUUCUUCUUUGAAUGUAAGCUUGGCCAAGCAAAAUGUUGCGGAAGAUAUUCUGCUUAUUACGUCUCUUUGCCACCAACUAGCUAAGAAUCCGACUGACUGGCAUGCUUCAUGUUCUUAUGUCUCUUCAGGACAGACAACUCGUACUUUUGCAUCCCUUCCCUCGCCCUCCGUAGACUGCACGACGGGCAAUACCACUGGCCUUUCGGGAUGCAGGUGCGCUUCGGCGUCAUGCAGUAUAUGUGAUAAGCUUCGUCACAGCCGUCGCACAAGGCGAUAUCUUUGUCAUCCUUAUUCUUGAAGCAGCAUCUGCAGAGACAGGACGGGCAGUACCAGCAUCCGAGGUUUUUCUGCUUCUCAGACGCGAUCUGGCUUUCUCUGAGGCAUCGGAUGUGAUAGAAUUUGUAAGAGCAGUAAGGAUGACCACAUACCAAGAAUCGCCUGUCGUCGUCUUCGCAUGUGCCGCAGUGUUUGCACAGCUUUGCAAGGGCAGUUGUGCACAGGUCUGGCUCGUUGUCUUCCACCACGCAUGGCACGGAGCUCCCCUCUCUUUCAUCAGCUAACUCCAUUCCACUACCAAUUUCAGGCGGUUCUAUUUUCUCAAGGACUUCAAGCCUGGCACACAGAGGACAACCAACAUGCAAACUGUUCUUGUGAACAUUUUUCAUGAUGUCUGCAGCUGACCCCUUCCCCUUAUUGCUGCAGGCCGGGCAGUGCCAGGUUGCUGGGAUCUGUUUCAUAGCAGGAUGGAGUCGCUUGACACAGUCAAAGUGGUACGUGCUGUCACAUCCAUCACAGAUAAGUCUUUUUUCUUCUUCUGCACCGUCUCCACAUUGCUUGCAAGUGCAAAUUCGACGAAGUCCACCUGUCUCGGUUCGCUUUGGAAUUGUAGAAUGACCAGAAUCACAUGGGGAGAACUGCACGGUGGUAGUCGAACCCUUUGGGAUUUUGUGGACGACACCAACCAAGCUUGUUUCCUGGUGAAGAAUGCAAUUAGUAAAAGGUGUUAAUAGAGUGCAACAACAACAAAAAAUGACCAGCAGACUGUCUCCAAACACACCAAUUACCUCUAUCCGGCGCUCAGCAGCAUCCUCUGCUUCAGAAACUCCAGAAGUCUAUAAAGAAUAUAUCGUAAGCAAUGUGCAGUACCAGCAUAAAAGCCAACAAGUUAAAGACUCCACAAUAGCUUGAAGCAUGGUCGUGGAGAAAAUAACUACAAAUUUACCUGCUUCUGAUAAGAAGCUCGUGAAAUGAUUGGAAGAUUGCUUGCUAGACAUGUCAUCUCCCGGCCAACUCGUUCAAACUUCUCCCAUGUCUACAUCAGAAACAAAUAUCCAUACAGAUACAUGAAUAUGAUGACACUUUACUCAGAAUAUUGUUUGCCUGAAUGUUAUGCAACUUCAGGUGAAACAACAAUAGCAAGCAAGCAGUUUCAUUGAGCACUGCUCCUAUACUAGCUACAACAUGGAAUGUGCUACUUAGAAAACAUGAUUCAUCCUCCCUUGGGAGUCUCCUGGUUGGAUGAUUCAAACUGUUUGGAAGGCCAAGGCAGCUAAUGUGCAAUCAAAUGGUGCAAACAUAGGAACUAGUUUCAGAACAACAGUGUAUAAAGGGCUUUCUCUACUCUGCCAAGUAAAGUGAAGUUUAUGUAUCUAUACUAGAUAAAGCUCAAGAAUAAACAAGAAAGCAGUUAUUUUUUCCGAUGAUUGAGUAAAAUGGAGAUAAAGCUACCUGCUGGAUAUCUUUGUUGAACAACGCCGGAUUCUGUGCAUAACUUCCGUUUCUCAUGUUGGCGUCAAUUCUCCCCAAAUCAAUGACCUCAUGAACAUUAUUCACAUGGAAAGUUUCAACUAGCAGAUCACACAGCAGGGCAAAUUUCUCAGAGACUAAAAUGUCAAGGAGAGCACUGUUGCACAUUGCUGUGUUGGCAUCCAAAGAUGCUGCAGUUGCAUCUUUUAACGCAACAAAGGAACAAAUCUCUUUCGCAUCCGCCAGCCCAGUAGGAUGCUCAUCUGACGAAUCUUGGGCCUUCCCAAGGUCACCCUGGUAAUCACAGAAGUUCACCGUCAGUUUCAUAUCACAGUAUAACAAGGUUGCUCUUUUUAUUAAAUAGAUAUGAGAAAAGCAAAGAAGAUGAUGACUGACUUGUUGUUCAGAUUGGCAGCGGUUGUAUCUGAGAGCGUCACAGAUGCAGCUGUGAAUCCCACCGCCCUUAUUUAUACCUGGGGCUUGCAGGUAGCCCUCCAAUGUGUUCUUCCAAGUAAUCCAAUGCCUGGCCAGCAUUGGGUGCCCAUCUUGGCGAGAAUUGCCACCGUACAGCAUCAUGGCGGCACUAGACUGCACGGAAAUAAAGCAACCAAGCACAUUGGACACGGUUCGGUUAUGUAUUACAGUAUAAAAUAGGCAUCUCAGGAGUCAGGAGACAGAAUUCCUAGGAACAAGUAGCAGGAGCCGAGAUUCAGAGCAAUUCGAAAGAACAGAGUGAGCAAAUCUAGCCGCGUGAAAUGAAAUCUUGGCUGGAGUGCUUAUGGCACCAGGAAGCCAGAGAUGUCCCAGUUGCAACAGCGGAACACGGCGGCGGGCGGGCGGGGGGAAGAAAGAAUGGAAGACGGGGAGAGCAGGGGUUAGAUGCGAAAGCUUGGCUCACCUGUCCGGGGUCGGAGCUGGCGCCGCCGUCGGCGCGGGAGGCGGCGCGGCGGCGCUUGCGCGUGUAAGUGAGGACGCCGCCGCCGCUGCUUCCGCCGGGGGUCUCCGGGGCGCGGCGCUUGGGCGGGACCGGCGGCCGGCUGGCGCCGUCCUGGGAGGCGGACAUCUUGGCUCCCGUCCGGCGAGGCUACAGCAUGUGUUUUCCCCGGCGAAGAGCGGGGCCUAGACUGGGAACUCAGCGGGAGCGCAGCCGCGGCGGGGAGGACGGCCGAGGGGGCUGGUUUCUAGGGUUUGCGGAGGGGCGGUUUGCUGGGGAAGGAUUUGGGGAUUUGUGUGGGGAGCGAGGAGCGGGAGGAAGGAAGAAGAAGAGAUUUUGCGAAACGGAAACGGGGAAAGAAACGGAAACGCGGACGGACAGGCUGUGUGUGUGCUCGCCGUCACGGCUGCCUGCUUUCAACUCUCUCUCUUCCGUCUCCACCAAUUCAAAGUGCUCACGAAAUUGGCAGCGGACGUUCGUUUGGUAUGCUUAGGGGGCGACAUCCCCGGUGAGGAGAUAUACGGUGGAGGAUGAGGCGUUGGGUCGGUAGGCUUAGGGGUCCACGUCUCCGGUGAGGUUUGGUAGGAGGAGAUAUACGGCGGAGGGUUGGGUCGGCAUGCUUAGGGGGUGACAUCUUCGGCGUUGUUGGGGUAGUAGGAGGAGAAGGAAAGGGGGAAGGGGGAGGACGGCUGAUCGUGGUGACGGUGAGGUUGUAUGUAUAGGUGGCCAACUAAGCGGAAGGAUUCGAUUUUCGUUGGUGAGGAAAUGUCUUCCCGUGGCUGUGUAAGGAAGGAGAGGCCGUGUCAAUAGGAAAUGAGCGAGAAGAGGGGCAGGAGGAAGGAGAGGCGGCUGCAAGAGGGGAGGAGCGACGAGAGGCAGACAGGGAGAAAACCCUAAUAAGGCAACAGCUGUAGGGCUAAAUGGGCUAUAGUCCAUAGUUGGGUUGUGCUUUCGCUCUCUUCUUUUUUUCCUCAUGUUCCCCGUUGUUAUCCCAGGCCUUAAUCGCUCUCUUAUUUUUUUUUCCUUGUUGGCCCGUUCGGGCAGCCCAAGCACUGUAUACGCGAGUUGGGCACCGGGUGGAAACAAAAUGUCAUCCACUGCCCAAUGCCUUCCCAAACCUUAUAGGUCACUACGUAUUCAACACAAGUAAAGAACUUCGUACCAAACAUUCAUUUGGUAAUGCUUACGGACGAUCUCUUCUAGGAGGAUAUGUGCGGGACAGGAGAUGUCGAAGAGAAGGUAAGAUGGGAAGACAAAGGACCGCUGCCCUUGACAACGCGUUUGUACGUGUCAAACAGUAUUGAAACAAGUAGAUAACUUUGCACCAAACUCUUAGCUCGGUAAUGCUUAGAUGGCGAUGUCUUUUGUGCCGCUUCGGUAGGAGGAAAUGUGUGUAGAAGAGAAACCGAGGAGGAAGAAAAUAAGGGGAAGGAACGCAUGCAGCUGACCUUAACAAUGGCGAAGUCGAACGAAUCACUUGGUGUGGCCACAAGACGACGGCGUGGUCGAAUGGAGUGGCUGAUCCAAGCGGGCGGUGCCCCCACUUGACCACGGGACAACGCCGAUGGCUUGCGGGACGACGACGAUGUUAGAUCUAAGAAACGGUGUGGCGGCGGAUCUGAGAAGAAAGAGGCGGAGGGGAAAAGAGGGUUUGGGAGACUAACCAUACGUGGCUAUAAAUACAAUCGAUGAUGUCCUGGGAAAACAUGAGGCGCAAUUGCGGAGGCAAAUAAAUGUACUACAUAAAUGAGCCAAUUUUGUGAGGAAAUUUCUCUCUUUCAUAUCAGAAAGUCUGUAUGUACGACGAUUUCGUGUGAUCUACUCGCCGAUCCAUAAUAAAUGAGCGACACUUCUUAUGGAUCUGAGGGAGUACUAAAUUUCCUCAAGCCCAAGCCCAAGCCCAGAUGGCAAUGCUAGUAGUUUGUCUUUCAUAUAGCUUUGCUAGGCCAUCUGUAUACACGCUGAAAAAAAAAAUUGCAGGCCAUGCCAGCCAGCCUCACAAAGUCAGGUGACUUAAGUCAGAGAAUACUGGCUGGUGUCAGAUGGUAGCUAAUUCCAGUUAAAUGUUGUCAAUUUUCAAAGCAGAAGCAUGAAACUACAAAAAAUAGUGGCAAUACAGAUAUGCGUAUAGAAUAUUGAUUUGCUAUCUUUCUUUCUUUUUGCAAGGAAAGUGCCAUUCCCUUGCCUGAGGAUACUAUAUUUACCACUGCCGCGUCGUUUCUCCCCUCGGCGGCAGUGAGACAUCAUAUCAGAAGGCGCUGGAGACUACAUAGCCUGCCAACGAAGAACAUCACACAGCAUGAUCCAGCAACGGGCCGCUCGCUUUGCCUCUAAAUGAGGUUGUCAUCCCUUCGCCAAGCCUUUUACCUGAACAUGGUGUGCUCAUCCCGUUAGAUGAAGACCUCAAUCAAAUUGUGAACUGGACAGAUAAGAUGUUGGAUGAUGCAAGAUAUGACAAUUUUGAUGUGAAAAGGAAAGACCAAAUACUGGCAAGAUCUCUAUACGUGAUAUCAUAAUAGUCAAUAGAAGAUCAGCAUGAGUGGAAUCACAUAAGUAAUGUCAUAAAACUUAUCAUCAGGGCUUACUCUCUAUCAAGUCAAAAAAGGAAAAUUUGCAGUGGCUGGUAUAGUUUAAAACAUGGUGAAAAGGAAAAAUUGCAGCAGCGAGGUGCUAUGUAUUAGAGCUCUUUUACGGUACCCCGGAAUUAAUAUUGGCCAUCCAUUCACCCCAAUCUAAUGGCUAUUGUUAUCGGGUACUCCACCGAUGGUUCUCUGGAGUACUACCUCGAAAAGGCACGGAGUACCUUGUUACAAGGGGUAAAAUAGUAAUCAGAGACUUUCUUAUUUCUCAUUAGGGGCAAUCUCUGAGUUUUUCCUCGCAAUCAACAUGAAAACAUUCCCCGUGUGAAAAAAUUAUAACCCGAUGAACCCUAAUUCUAAACAGGUGAGACCAUCAUCCAUAGAUUCAAUCGUAGGUCUAAAAUAAAUCAAUGGUAGAGAUGUAUAAUUGAUCCAAGAAUCCACUAGGAGGCUGCACAAUUGAUCAAUCCAUACGUGCUGUCGCUGCUGUGAUCCAAGAAUCCACGAGGAGUCUGCACAAUUGAUUGAUCCAUACAUGUUGUCCUUGCUGUGAACAGCGCCAUCAGAAUCCCGGACAGCGCUGUGCAGCCUGUAGCGGGUGAGCGGCGCGUGCGAUCAAGAAUAAAAGUGAACCAUCGACGGCGGGCAGAUCUGGCGGCUAGACAGCGGCGUGACCGACGGGGGCUUGAUCGUUCGUCGCCUCGUCGGUGGCCAGACGCGAGGGCAGGGCCGCUCGAUCAGCACUGUUCAGUCAAAACAGCCCUUACAAAAUGUCCAAAUUACCCUCAUGUUUGGACGGCCAGAUUUAUUUGGUACUCCAAUCCAUGCCAAAGAGUACCAGGGUACCGUAAAAAAGCUCAUGUAUUAUUGGUAGCUGGCUUCAACAAGUCAUGACAACUUGAAAUUUAAAUACAGUGAAAACAUGUGGAACUUUGUCAGGAUCAGAAGACUUAUUCUUAACACCGUUCAUCAUGUUGAGAGCACAGGGUUUGCAUAAACAAAGCAAAAACGCGUAAACCUCAGCAACCUAACAACUAAGAACUCACUUGCUAUUAGUUUUAAUUUGGUAUGGUUUCGUAUAUGUUGGAAUGUUUGAUUUUGUUGGAAUUUCCAAAGUGAACUAAAUGACGUAAACAACAAGCCAGGCAACUGGAAUCUGCAAUCGACAAUGGCAGUAGAAAAGUGUAGUGAUAUAUGUAUGUACCUGGGAGAAGAUGAGCAGCCGGAACUGUUAUGGGUCACAGAGAACACAUUGGAGAGAGACUUUGUGAGGUAUGCAAAGUUUGGUAUCGGCGGCAACGCGGGCACACGCUCCCCUUUCCUCAGCAGCUCCUCCAAGUCGAGCCUUUGCAAAGUGAGUACAGACUUGUUGUCUCUCCAAACAAAGGCGAGCCGGCCAUCCUGGAGAGCAAAGAGUGACCCGGGCUUUGAGCCAGGGUACCUGAACCCAUACCCCGCUGCAAUGCCCUCCCCGGCAAAGCUUCUCGCAAUGUCCACACGGCGGGAAUCCUCGUCGGACUGCCAUGGAAAUGCCUCUGUCGAUGGCUCGCCCAUCCGCGCGAUAAACAUGGCCGACCCAUUGGGAUGCACGACAUAGUGUGUGCCCUCCAACACCUUGGUUGCGAUCAGCAUAAGCUUCCUCUCGCUGUCUUCCUCGUAGGAGAGGAGCAGGAAGAAGAGGGCCUUCCGUGGUUUGCGGUCAUCCUCCGGCCGCCCCGGUGGCCACCCGAAUGUGCCUCCCCACAGUCCGGCAUACUCCCGGCCGGGCACCGGCGCCUGUGUCGCCAGCUUGUAGAGCGCGAACCGGUUGCCAUGCAUGCUUGGCCACGCUCGGUAGGUCGACAGCCGCAGCUGGGCGCCCCGGAGGCUCAGGCCAACGCUCUUGCCGGCGCGCAAGAACUCGUCCAAUGCCAGAUGCUUGCUGCCUCCGAACUCUACCGUUGAAUUGGCCGACGCAGAGCGCGUCACCAUCUGCAGCAGCCCUUUCCUGACGAACCCGGCCAUCGCAGACAGGCUCCUCCGAAGGGGAACCUUAUCACCUGCAGCAUCGCCGUUCGUCGUCGGCGGCAUCUUCUUGGCUGCUUCCAGCAGCAGAGCCUCGAGCUCUGCCCGGCUCACCAUGCCGCCGCCGGACGACGACGAAUCCUUGUGCAGACGCAGCAUCGCCUCCCGGCGCGCGGCGAGCAAGGGGAGGUCCUCAUCGGAGCGCGCGAAGAGCGGCGCCGCGGCGAGGUCCGGCGGGAGCUUGACGCGGCAGGAGGCGACGAGCGCAUCGAGCAGGCCGCAGCGGUUACCGAAGGAGAGGCGGGAGAAGCUGGAGGAGGAAGAAGAGGGAGAAGGCGCGAGGGCCUCGAGGAGGAGGGCGUUGGUGUUGGGGUGGAGGGAGGAGAGGCGGCCGGGGAAGAGGGAUCCGGCGCCGUGGAGGAAGAGGAGCGCGGGGCGGCCAUGGGCGUCGGCGAGGAGCUCGAAGACGGGCGCCCAGCGGAGGCGCGGGGAGAGCUCCUGCGGGAUGGCGCGGAUGGCGACGAGGGAGAGGAACCCCGGGAGCGCCGCCACCAGGUUGCCCAGCUCCGGGUUCUGCUGCGCCCAGAGACCGCGGAGCGGGGCCGCGGAGUGGAGGAAGCGGCAGACGGUAAGAGAGGAGCCCCCGGCGGCGGCGCGCCAUGAGAGGAGGUGCGACGGCGGGGAAGAAGAAGGGAGCAGGCGGCGGCACUGCGCCAGCCAGGGCUUGUCGGCAGCGGAGAGGGCCGCGUGGAGGCGGCGGUCGGCGGCGGAGAGCGCCAGGAGGUCCCGCGGGCGGAGGUGGGCGGAGAUCAGGGCCAGCACGUCGUCCGGGAGCGCCAGGAUCAGCUCGCCCCCGGCCAUGGAGAUCGGGGUUGGGUGGGCCGUCUGCUUCCUUUCGCCUUUUUCUUUUCUUUUCUCAACCUCAAAAAAGUUCCAAGCUUUAUAAUCCUGCGAGAAGAAGACUGUGAAGAGUGACAAGCUCAGCCUGGUCUUUUUCCUCGGACGAUGAAGAAAUAUCUCUUUUUUUUUGCAUUUCGCUCUCGUGCUAUUCUCGCUGGCCACCUUGCUAAAAUAUCUCGAACCACUGUCUACACCAUUUUAUUACGCUUAUCGGUCUAUUUAUCUGCAGUUUCCUCCACAUUGCUCGACAUUGAUAAAUCACCUUCUCUAGUCACCUUCAUGCACCACAAGCUUCAGUGGAUUUACCAAUAAUUUCUUAACCCGAGUCUCUUUCGGACCCAAAAGGUGGACACACAAACUACGUGAUCAACAAGAAUGAUGUGAUACGAGGCAACAAGCAAGGAUCCGCGUCCGUUCAUGGGUUCGGAGUGUCAAAACUCAGCUCUAUGUUUCGUAGGAUUUUUACAGAAUUUCAAUCCUAGGAGUUUUUUUCUACAUGUAGCAUGGUUUCAGAACGAACAUGUUAGAUUUCUAAGAACUGUAUCCAAAUUGGCAUAAUUCAUAAGGAUUCUAAACAUCAGGUACGAGCUCAUUUAAAAUUAUUAAAGAAUAAAUAUGCAUGACAUUUCAAUCAUCUAUUUUCAUAUUCAUAUGAUUUCAAAAUCCUAUGAACCGAAUAAGCCCUAGGAUUACGACGUUGUCAAGGGUCAAGAAUGUAAAAAAGAAAAGUGUUAUAGAAGGGAAAAAAACGUCACCGUCAAAAAGAAUGAAUUAGUUUUGAUUUGGUCACAAGGUCUAGAAGAAGAAGAUGCUGCUUCUUGGUGGAUGUCAUGUCGACGUCAAGAUCACCUAUUGGCACAUUUCGUCCAGUCGUCGUUUGUAGUUUAUGUCCAGCGAAUUUGAGACCCGGUCAAACAGUGAACUCAUCAUCCUCGACGACUUUGACCAGGGUGGGUCCUUUGGGCCUUAAAAGACUCUCCUCGCUUUGGGCCCAUUAUAUUAGACAAGACCCCUUAUACAAAACAAGAGAGAGGCCAAGCCCAUGAGCAGAAGAACGCAACGGGCUGUGGGCCGGAAGCAGUAUCACCGUGGCAUCGAGAGCAGAUUACUUUUUAUUCGCUCAAACUAACAAUGAAACCUGCCCUAAAAAAAAACUAACAAUGAAUGAUCCCUAAAAAAAAAUUACCACUUGAAUGACAGGUCGUCCUCUACAAUUAUGGUUGUUUACAUGGCCUAAAUCAGCCAACUUUGUCUGACCACUCUGCUCUACGGUCGAAUCUAAGCUAGUAACUUAAUGGGCUUGUUUGGUCCUAAUCAUGGAAGAUGAUGAUUGGUCUAUGACAUAGAUACAGACUGGGACAGGGGCGCCAGACUCGUGCCUAAUCCUUCUUGUUUCAUCCAAGAAAAGUCUUAAGCCGUAUACACUGCCAGCCGGUACGCAUCGCAAUCUCAGGAUGACGCUCAAAUUGUCAAACCAGUUUGUCCUAAGAUGAGUUUUUUGUUUUGUUCAACGUAUAGCUGUAAUGGUCUGAUGGCAAAGAAUCUAACUGAAUGUAUAGCUGCAUGGUCUGAUGACAAAAGAGUACGCAUCUCAGAAAAAUGCGGGCAAGAACACAAGCAAAACCAAAGAUUAAUACGAUAACACACUGUACGAAAUUAACACUGGAUAGAGAUCGAAAAAUAACAAUCAAGAAAUACGUAAAUGUAACCCUGCAAAAGAAACAUAAAUGUACUGCAUAAUUACAGUACACAAUAAUACUUGUUGCAGCAAAACUCUGAUGAUCAUCAUCAUUUCUGAUUGUGAAGACGUCCUUUCAAUGAAAUUCAAUCAAGAAACCAAUUGCUUCAUUGCUCAUGAUAGCUACGAGUAGCUAGUAACGGCAUGAAAUCGAGAUCAUCUUAAUCUGUUUUGCAGCUGAUUGCAUGCUCCUCAUUUCUUGGCGGCGGCAUUGCUGGAGGAGGAAGAAGCUGAAGCAGAGGAGGUCCUCUGUUCGUCGACCUUGUGCACCACCUUGCUCCUGCCUCUGUGCGCCACCAACAUCUUCCUCAGCGCGCGCAUCAUCGCCACCAGCCCCGGCGCCCUUCUCCGGGACGAGCCGCUCCUCCUCGCCGCCGCGACCUGCAGCACCGCCACCUCGCGCUCCUCCUUCGCUGCCCGCCGCCGGCGGGAAAUGUCGAAGGACAGGUCGUCGUCGGCCAAGUCCUCCCUGCCGUCGUCGUUGAGGUCCUCCCACAGGCUGUCCAUCAUCUCCUCUUCUUCGUCCUCGGCUCCGGCGGGGGAGCAGAAAUUGGCGCGCCAUGGCGAUGCGGGAGCGGCGCUGGAGUCCGCGGCAGAGAAGCUGCGGCGGAUGGGCGACGACGAGAGCAGCCACGCCGGCGGCGGAGACGCGGACGCCCUGCUGUAAUUCCGGCGGUGGCUGUAGGUGCUGCUGCUGCAGCAGGCGGCGGCGAGGAGCUGAGGCGGCGGCGUGGGGAAGCUGAAGUCGUCGUCUUGCUCCGCCAUCGCCAUUGCCUAUUCUCUUCUCCCUUCUCUGCUCUGCUCUGUUCUGCUACUGCUGGAUUGCGUCUUGGUGGGGAAGAAGAUGCCAGUAGUGCUUCUGUUACCUAGCUACGUGUUGACUCUCAUCAAAUAAGGAGAGGAAGAUACCUCAAAAAAAAAAGUAGCUGGAGUUUGGUCCAACCGCAAGUAUUUUGAUUGAUGCUUGAUUGGUGGUCAAUCAAGGCAUUCCCUAUUGAUGCUGUAUCAGUAAUUUGUUUCAUGCGUACAAACUUUGAGCUAGAGUUGGCUCCAAGUUUUGCUUCAACGUUUGACCUCUUGAGCUGCACAUAUAUUCAGUUUACUACUCACCCCUUGUUUCCAACACGGCAUAAAAACUCAACUUAGGACAGUUCAUUUGAGCAUCAUCCUGAGAUUGCGAUGCAUACCGGCUGGCAGUGUACAGCUCAAGACUUUCUCUUGGACGAAAACAAGAAGAAUUAGGCACGACGAGUAUGAUGUCAAAAAAAUAAAACAAAAAAAUUAGGCACGAUUCCGGCCCCCGUGAUGUCUGUCAUAGACCACUGAUAUUCCAUGAUUAGGACCGAACCCAUUGUUAAAUUAGUACUAGAAGCUUAGGUUCGACCGUAAGAUUAAGAAGCAGAGUGGACAGACGAAGUUGGUUAAGUUAGGCCAUGUAAACGACGAUAAUUGCAGCGAGCAGGCUGUUCAUUAAUUAAUUAGCACAAAACAGGGUUCAAACGGUCCUUGAUACUUCUAUGUCUGAGGUCAACUGCCGUCUGUGUAGCACUUGACGACGGAUGAGAACAUGCCACUGGCUAAUUAAUUGGCAAACAGAUUGCCAUGACAUACAUUACCUAUCCGUCUAAAAUGUUGCAGCGAUCCAGUAAUUCCGGUGGCUGGUUGCUUCUUGUCUCUAAUUCUUUGUUUUGAUUUGAGAAAACCCAGCCGAAAUGCUGGGCUGGGCUGUAUCCAAAUUCAUGUUAAGGUUUUGGCCCACAAGUCCAUUACCAUCACAAACAAUUAGCUUCUCUGUCCGCUCAAAAAAAAAAAAAGCUUCUCUCGUCCUGUCUCGUGACUGUCCUCGACAUACAUACUUUAUCUUUUGUCUUCUUUGAAAGAAAGAAUGCACAUGUAUACUUAUUUUCAUUCCGUUUGUUGCAAGUAUACAUCGUUCGUCCUAGUAAUGCAUACUGCACGUUCCAGAGAAAUCAGGACACUUGGACCAUUGCUUGAGUAUCAUCACUGUCGGCUUGGUUAAACAUCCCAAUUCCCAAAAUAAAACCAUAACAGAUACAUGUCACCCUCCCCGUGGAUCGCACUAGCAAUGGCUAUGUUUCCAGGAGACAAUCACAGCAGAAAUUGGACCCAGCAAGGCAGCAAGGACGAUAAGAACCUGACACAAUAGAUAAGCGAUUGAUGGGAUGGAAACAAAAUUUAAGCAGCGGUGAGGCCUUUGCACAAAAUUUAAGCAGCAGCCAACCACCAAAGAAAACAUGGAGGAUGUCCGGAUCGUCUCCCGGCGCAUGAUCCGGCCGGAGCCGACGAGCACGCGGCGGCCGCCGGAGCUGGAGCCGGAGACGGUGAUCCACCUGACGCCAUGGGACCUCCAGAUGGUGACCGUGGAGCACAUCCAGAAGGGCAUCCUCCUGCCCAAGCAUCCACAGGGGCACAGCCAUGCCGUCGAACGGCUCGCGUCGUCCUUCGCGCUCGCUCUGGGACGCUUCUACCCCUUUGCCGGCCGGCUCACCGUCGAGGAGCUCCAGCAGGACGGCGGCAUCGCCAUGUCGCUGCGCUGCAGCGGCGAGGGCGCGGAGUUCGUCCACGCCGUGGCGCCCGGCGUCACCGUCGCCGACAUCACCUCGCCGGUGUACGUCCCGCCGGUGGUCUGGUCCUUCUUCCCGCUCGACGGGGUGCUCGGCUUGGACGCCGCCGUGGCCUCCCUACCGGUGCUGGCCGUGCAGGCCACCGAGCUCGACGACGGCGUCUUCCUCGCCAUGUCGCUCAACCACGGCGUCGCCGACGGCACCACCUUCUGGCACUUCUUCAACACCUGGUCCGAGAUCAGCCGCCGGAGCGGCAACCACGACGCCGCCGCCAUCGGCUGCGAGAUCGCCUCGCCGUUGCCGUUGCUCCAAAGGUGGUUCCCUGAAGGCUGCCCCAUCCCCAUCCCUCUGCCCUUCGACAAGCCGGAGGACAUUGUCGGCGACCAGCGUGCCAAGUACCCGUCGGUGCAGGAAUGCUUCUUCCGUUUCUCCGCGGAGAGCGUAAAGGAGCUCAAGGCGAAGGCGAACGCCGAGAUGGCUGGCGCCCCAGCCACCAUCUCCUCGCUACAAGCCCUCUUCGCGCACAUGUGGCGCGCCGUGUGCCGAGCCCGACGCCUCGCGCGAGACCAGGACGUGACGUACAUCAUCCUAGUCGGAUGUCGAGGCCGCUUGGAGAGCAUGCCAUCGGCCUACAUGGGCAAUGCCGUGUCGCUUAUCAUGGCGAGGUCGACUGCCGGCGAGAUCCUGGACAAGGGGCUGGGCUGGGCAGGAUGGCUCCUGAACCGGGCCGUGGCAUCGUUCAACAUGGCGAGCGCAACGGCUGAGACCGCGUCUUGGCCUCGGAACCCUGGCUUCGUGCGUCCUCUGGCGUCCGUGUUAGACGGUCAACCAAAGUUGUCCACGGGGAGCUCGCCACGGUUCGACAUCUACGGAAACGACUUCGGAUGGGGCAGCCCGGUGACCGUGCGGAGCGGCUCGGCGAACAAGGUGGACGGGAAGAUGACGGUGUAUGAGGGCGGCGAGGGUGCCGGUAGCAUGGCGCUGGAGGUGUGCCUUGCUCCGGAGGCGCUCGCCAGGCUCGUCGCCGACCAAGAAUUCAUGGACGUGGUGAGCUCAACCAAGGAGUGAUCAAUGAUCAAUCGAGCUCCUUUUCUUAACCACCGUGCCUAUGUUAAGUCUUAGAUCUGCAUCACUCAUCCUCUAUGAAAUUUAUGUAUUUGCCAAGAACCACUGGAAUGAUGAUAUUUUGCAGUACUAGUGAAGUGUCCAGAUGUUGGUUGCAGCCCACCAUUCAACAGAAAUCAAGCAAUCACAAGAAAGCUUAUCAAACAAUCAUCUGAUCAUGUAAAGCUUAAGGGAUUCAAUUUCACUCAAGAUCACACAAAGGAGUACAUACAACAUUAAUUAAUUGCAGGAUCUUCACCCUCGAGCAGUGAACAAGUAAAAAAACUAUCAUCCCCAACAUGUUUCCAUUCCGUGUAGAAGCUAAUUAAGCAGCGAAGUACCAUCCCCAACCCCUCCAUUAAUCUUACAAGGUACUGAGGUGUAAUCACUGAGAACCUGCUGAUCCUUCCAUCUCAUUUUGCUUUGCUUUGUGUAGACCAACGAUCCAAGACCAGCAGCACUAGUGGAUGAACAAUCGUAGUAGCUAGUUUCUUUAUGUGAUGAUAAAAAGACCGUCUAGACUAGCCGUGGUAGUAUUACAUUACAGACGUAUUACAGGGAGAAUCAAAGAAGAGAAGAUUUCUGGUCAGACCUCGAAGUGCUCCAUCUG